UAAAGGAUGUGUCUUUUUGGCUACUGCUCCGCUGGAGCUGAAACUUUCCCAAAACUCACAGCUAAGCAGUUCAGUGUGUGUUGCAUGGGACAGCUACAGAAUUCCAAUUACUGCAAUGAGUCAGGCACACAUGAAGGCCUCUGGAUUUGUCAGACAGAGUGGAGGACAUCCACUGUCAUCCUCACCAGUUCCUGCAGCAUCUGGCUCUUUUCAGCACAGUAAAAGAUGACCCUCUCUUGCUGUUCCCACUGGGUGUCAUAAACUCCAUGACUCCUUCCAAGAAAUGUUAAGCUAUGCAUCUGCCUUGAUCUGCACAUACCAUGAUAUUUCAAGAUCCACCCUCUGGGAGAAGGGGGAGCAACCCUAACAGGAGUCCCGGCCACAGGAGUGCUGGGCAAGCUGGAAGCCUGGCACACGGGGGAGAAUGGGAAGAACGAGUCCACAGAAUGACAGUGUUCCUGGUUACCAGGGAAACAAUCCUAAAUUGGAGCUUUUUUUUUUCAAUCAGAAUAUUUGUUUUCAUUUGAAAUAUUUUGAUAAGGGGUCUAGUUUUUUAUAAACA
Long non-coding RNA from Pseudopipra pipra, 562 nucleotides. RefSeq lists it as uncharacterized. NCBI's taxonomy places the organism in Eukaryota, Metazoa, Chordata, Aves, Passeriformes, Pipridae. The transcript has 4 exons. The record is from RefSeq and is a predicted model, not a curated record.